Long non-coding RNA from Octopus sinensis (East Asian common octopus), 914 nucleotides. RefSeq lists it as uncharacterized. The record is from RefSeq and is a predicted model, not a curated record. Lineage: Eukaryota; Metazoa; Mollusca; Cephalopoda; Octopoda; Octopodidae. The transcript is spliced from 2 exons.
AAAUACGAAUAUUAAUGGUGUUGUUGUUAUUGUUGGUUGUGGUGGUGGUGGUAUUGCAAUUCGGAGUUAUUAAUAGUAUUGGCGCUGCUUGCAAGUGGUGUUGAUGAUGUUGCAGAUAUCGAAGGUGUUGGCAGUAGUUAUUGUGGUGGUGGUUUUGUAGUAGUAGUAGUAGUAGUAGUAGUGGUGAUGAUGGUGGUGUGGUGGUGGUGGUAGUAGUAGUGGUAGUGGCAUUAGUAUUUACAGUGGUUGUGGCAUUAGUGGUAGCAAUGGUAGCAGUGUUACUAGUAGUGUUUGUGUUGUUUCUAAUAGUAGUAGUAGUAGUAGUGCUGGUGGUGGUGGUGGUGGUGGUUAUAGUAUUGGUGGUAGUGGCCGGUAGUGGUCGUUCCACUCCUGUAUGUGUGUCUAACACCUUCACAUAACUCUACAUUCCAUAAACGUCUGUCUGUCUCUCUCUCUCUCUCUCUCCAAACAAUAUCACAGUUCCCUAAACAAAUUCUUUCUUUCAGUUUUACGUAAAUCAGGAUCAGAAUGGCAUCGAUUCAAUUUUGCUGUUCAAAUUUGGUCACAUGGUGUAUGUGUUUGCUCACGUGGUCUAUCUUUGGUCACGUGGUGGUAAUGGUGAAGGGUCGGAGCAGUUAGAUAUUCGGGGUGACCGUAGUAGCAUCUUCCUUGGCAGACGGACCUUGCCGUCAUGCUGUUGUCAUUGCUGCUGCUGCUGCUGUUAAUUUUGUUGUUGUUGUUGUUGUUGUUGUUGUUGUUGUUGUUGUUGCUGCUGCUGUGCUUGUUUUUGUUGCUGUUGUUGCGCUUUACAUUGUUGUUGUUGCUGUUUGGUUCUCUUGUCUGGUUCUCGCUGUAGUUGUUGCACUGAUUGGCAUUGUUUGUGUUGUUGUUGUUGUUGCUGUUGCUGAUAUUGC